UACGUAGGGGGCAAGCGUUGUCCGGAUUUAUUGGGCGUAAAGAGCGUGUAGGCGGCCAGGUAGGUCCGUUGUGAAAACUCGAGGCUCAACCUCGAGACGCCGAUGGAAACCAUCUGGCUAGAGUCCGGAAGAGGAGAGUGGAAUUCCCGGUGUAGCGGUGAAAUGCGCAGAUAUCGGGAGGAACACCGGUGGCGAAGGCGGUUCUCUGGGCCUUACCUGACGCUGAGGAGCGAAAGCGUGGGGAGCAAACAGG
Molecule: ribosomal RNA, 253 nt
Filed under: uncultured bacterium
Lineage: Bacteria
Description: partial 16S ribosomal RNA
Rfam family: Bacterial small subunit ribosomal RNA
Source: RNAcentral